CGCGUAGGCGGUUUGAUAAGCUGGGUGUGAAAGCCCCGGGCUCAACCUGGGAAUUGCAUCCAGAACUGUCUGACUAGAGUAUGGUAGAGGGUAGUGGAAUUUCCUGUGUAGCGGUGAAAUGCGUAGAUAUAGGAAGGAACACCAGUGGCGAAGGCGGCUACCUGGACCAAUACUGACGCUGAGGUGCGAAAGCGUGGGGAGCAAACA
Molecule: ribosomal RNA, 207 nt
Filed under: uncultured bacterium
Lineage: Bacteria
Description: partial 16S ribosomal RNA
Rfam family: Bacterial small subunit ribosomal RNA
Source: RNAcentral